RNAcentral lists this ribosomal RNA (566 nucleotides) under uncultured bacterium. RNAcentral describes it as "partial 16S ribosomal RNA". It matches the Rfam family "Bacterial small subunit ribosomal RNA", at positions 355 to 912 of the family's 1533-position model. The record is from RNAcentral.
UGGGGAAUUUUGGACAAUGGGCGAAAGCCUGAUCCAGCAAUGCCGCGUGUGUGAAGAAGGCCUUCGGGUUGUAAAGCACUUUUGUCCGGAAAGAAAUCCUUGGCUCUAAUACAGUCGGGGGAUGACGGUACCGGAAGAAUAAGCACCGGCUAACUACGUGCCAGCAGCCGCGGUAAUACGUAGGGUGCAAGCGUUAAUCGGAAUUACUGGGCGUAAAGCGUGCGCAGGCGGUUUGCUAAGACCGAUGUGAAAUCCCCGGGCUCAACCUGGGAACUGCAUUGGUGACUGGGCAGGCUAGAGUAUGGCAGAGGGGGGUAGAAUUCCACGUGUAGCAGUGAAAUGCGUAGAGAUGUGGAGGAAUACCGAUGGCGAAGGCAGCCCCCUGGGCCAAUACUGACGCUCAUGCACGAAAGCGUGGGGGAGCAAACAGGAUUAGAUACCCUGGUAGUCCACGCCCUAAACGAUGUCAACUAGUUGUUGGGGAUUCAUUUCCUUAGUAACGUAGCUAACGCGUGAAGUUGACCGCCUGGGGAGUACGGUCGCAAGAUUAAAACUCAAAUGAAUUG